This 597-nucleotide ribosomal RNA is filed under the name Triticum aestivum (bread wheat). RNAcentral's name for it is "partial small subunit ribosomal RNA". Lineage: Eukaryota; Viridiplantae; Streptophyta; Magnoliopsida; Poales; Poaceae. The record is from RNAcentral.
AUGGAGAAGCAGGGAAACAUCGGCUACAUAAGUUCGAUGAGGGAAGGACGGAGGAGAACAAAGAUCAGGAUUCGUAAUAAAAGUUUCUUGCUUCGACGUCGUAACGAGUAUGGCACCUUCACAUGGAGUGAAGGCCGUAUGACCAAGACCACAUCUUUGUACCGUGAAAUGUCUGCUCGCGUGUGUCUAAGGUUGGCACUGGACGAGUACUCUGAUCUCAAGAGCAAAGGAAUGCUUAGGUGGAAGGCUUACAAAAAAAAUCGCGUGAGCAUCAACACCGCAUUACGGACCAUCGGGGAGGCCAUUAUGAGAUUAAGAAAACGUCGUGUGGAGGCCGGGCUAUUCUACUUGGUGCCACAAGCAGAUAGGGCCGCGAUACAAGUCCGCACCCACUUAUUCAGUAUGCCUUUGAAAGAGGCGCUAAGAAAACGACGCCUAGAACUCAAAAAGAGGAAGCAACUCCUGGACGCAUACAAUAAUUCUCAAAAAUCUACCGCCUACAGCAACGUCGUCUCCCUAAUGCGAGCAUCAGUAAAGAGAAUUUUGUUCUAUACUCUAUCCUCCGUUGUAUUAGGUUGUGCGAUAGUAUUCUUUUGA